Molecule: long non-coding RNA, 568 nt
Filed under: Cyanistes caeruleus (blue tit)
Lineage: Eukaryota; Metazoa; Chordata; Aves; Passeriformes; Paridae
Description: lncRNA (ENSCCEG00000022303.1)
Source: RNAcentral
AUGCAUCUCUCCAAAUAAAUUUUGAUAAGAACUGCAAACCAGAUGUUAAGCCAAUCAUAGAGGAAAACAAUUAAAGAGUAUUUUCAGCUUUUGGAGACCCUUGCCAAUUUGGCUUUGCAGACAGCGAAUUAGAAAAACCUCAGGCAUGGACUGGAUGACAGCACCGGGCCCCCAGACCUUCCUCUAUCCCAGGAACUUGCUGGGAAAUGCUGCAAAAGUCUGGAUCCAACCUGCCCAGCUCGGAACUGGAGAGCAACAACUGACUUUGAAUCAGCAUCGAUGGCACCAUCUGAAAUCUCCAAAGCCCUCCACAGCCUGCUGGAUCCAAAUAAAUGUGUUGCAGAAAGGCGCUGCUCUUUUUUCUGAUUGCUGUCAAACACAGAAUCUGACAGACACAAACAAGAAAAAGUAAUUUAAAAAAACCCAAAUACUAGACAUGAAAAAAAAUCCCAGCCAGACAAAAUCAAAACAAAAACCUGAAGGAAAUCCCGAACUAAUCUGCAAAAACCUGGAACAGUGCAAGGUUUCAGGAUGUGCUCUGCAAAGUGCAGUUUUCAAUAUGAUUAAG